UUAAAGCAGAAACUCUGCACAAAAGUUCUCUUGUAUCCUUUGGAACUGUGCAGAGGGAAGAGGAGGGUAUCUGUUAUUUUUAAGCAGCUGGAACCCUGGGGGAGUGCGGUCACUCCCUGCCCACGGAGGCUCAGCUUCUCCACGCACCGGUGGUGUGGUGUCAGUGCAGCGUGACCUGACCACUCCAGGGAGCAGAGGAAGAUUUGCGUGGUGUUUAAGAGCAUUCAAAGGCAGUUCUGUGUGUGGAAGGAUGGUGAGAAUAGGUCAGGAAAGUACUGUGUUUGGACAAGUGAGGGUGCUCGAGCUGCACUGAGGGAGAGGGGAAGGGCCUUUACCCACCCCAGGGGCUUCGGGAACAGGCUCUGGGUGGGAGCACAAGGGGGGACGAGGGGGCAGCUCGGUGGGGCUGUGGAGGUGCUGCACGACAGUGACACCGAGCCUCUCGAGGCUGGAGCCCCCCAAGAUCUGAAUCAAACUUUGCCAUUGCUUUUUCCAGCUGUUACUCAGCAGCUGUGGCUGGACCCUUAUGUAUCGGCAAUUGCAUCGUGAGCGUUCUGUGCUCGGCUAACCCUCUGUUUUAGGGAGAAGACAAUCCCGAGAGGAAUGGGCUGCCUGGAAAGGUAAUUCCAGCACGGGGUGGGGUCGCGACCACCGAGCACCGACCCUUGCUCAGAACAGACCCAAAUGAGGGCAGAGCUGUGCCCGCGGACCGAGCAGCACGAGAAGGGACAGACAACCAACAACCAGCGGCUUGAGCGCUCAUGAACGGGAAAGGGAUGUCACUGGAACCAAGGGAUGCCGCUAAACGAACAAACGGUGCAAAGCCUCGAAGAUGGCGGAGCGGGGACCCCUUUGAGAGAACCACCCGGCUCCUGCUGCCGUGGAAUGGAAUAAAACACAGCAAUCCCUCAGCUCGAGGAAGAUUUUCAGCUUGGAGAAUAAAAACCAUCUGAUUUCAUUCA
Long non-coding RNA from Pseudopipra pipra, 962 nucleotides. RefSeq lists it as uncharacterized. The record is from RefSeq and is a predicted model, not a curated record. The transcript has 2 exons. NCBI's taxonomy places the organism in Eukaryota, Metazoa, Chordata, Aves, Passeriformes, Pipridae.